Non-coding RNA from Ictidomys tridecemlineatus (thirteen-lined ground squirrel), 880 nucleotides. NCBI's taxonomy places the organism in Eukaryota, Metazoa, Chordata, Mammalia, Rodentia, Sciuridae. The record is from RefSeq and is a predicted model, not a curated record.
GGGAGGGCCCAGUCCUGCAACAUCCGCUUAGGUCCUAUGUCUUACAGAUCUCAUAGCUUCUCAGAAUCACUGUAGUGAGGUCCAUGCUCCCAGUAUAGGAACAUCUGGGUGACACCAUAUCCAAACCAUUAGCCCAAAUCCAUUUACAGCUGUAAAUGGUGAAGAUGGAAGAAGCUUGGUCAGAUUUCCCUAGUCAAAUGCCCCCACCUUUGUGAGAAGAUGAUGAGGAAGAGGUGGAUCUUCACACUGGGAUAGCCCAUAAGUCACAGACAGGUGAAGCAAUGGCUGGAAUGGGCAGUCCAUGAUGAGACCACCCAGAUCCCACAGGGAGCACCGAGCUGUCUAGACCUAGUUAGCAUCCUGUGGAAUAACUUGCCUGCUUCCACUUUGCCAUGUCUCUUCCACUGUCCCCCAGCCAUGUGGUGCAAACGACCCAUUUAAACAUCUCAGAAGUGAAGAUGAGAAGCAGGAUAAUAAGGCAGCAUGCCUACAACUUCAAUCAGCCCAAAAUACGCUUGGCUAAAUGUGAUUGUGAGAUGCUCAAAGUGGUACCCAGAGUUUCAUAAGAAGCCAUCACGAGAACAUGGUGGGGCUAGGGCUUCACCAGGAACACAAGCCUGGGAAGUUCGCAAUAUCAGUCCCAAAGAGCAAAAACCUGAAACAGCACCAGUGGUUUGGAACUGCCUUAAACAGAAAGCACGCGAUGAGGGCCUUCCCCACAUGUCUAGCACUGUUUGGGGAAAAGCUGCUCUGGUAGAAGAGUCAUUCAUGAAGAGCAGGCUCAGCACUUGAACCCUGGCUCUUCCUCUCACCAGCCCUGUGAACUGGGAGCACAGCUUGCACUUGGUACCACUGCUUCAUUUGUGAGAAGAAUAGGUAA